This 6556-nucleotide long non-coding RNA is filed under the name Citrus sinensis (sweet orange). RNAcentral's name for it is "long non-coding RNA (CSIN_LNC001043)". Lineage: Eukaryota; Viridiplantae; Streptophyta; Magnoliopsida; Sapindales; Rutaceae. The record is from RNAcentral.
UCUUCUAAACACCCUUCAACACACAAAACUAAAUUCUGCGGCCAAUGUCGUCACACUUUCCUUCUUAACUGUUUGAGAGCAUCAUAAGUCCAAGGUUUUUCAAUUCGUCUUCAAUUUCUUCCCCCUUAAAACCAUUCUUGAGUCCAAAAGAGGAAGAUCAAUUUAGAUGAAUCGAGUAUUAUUUAUUCACUCUCUUUAUAAAGACGAGAUCUCCAUAGCUUCUGUUUCCUUCGGUCUUCAAGGUAUGUAUUUAUUUGGCUUCUUUAAUUUUCUUUUUCUUUUUCUUAGUUAUAUAAGUGUCUGUCUUUUAUGAUUUAUAUUCAUAUUGAUGAUGAAUCAUAUAUAUAAAUUAAAAAGAAAACUAAGCAAGUAUUGAAGCAGCUAGCCAUAUCUUAAUCUUGUACUGCCUUCUUUUUACUAUAAGGGUUUUUAUUUUUAUUUUCAUUUCUAUCGAGUAUUAAUUUAAAUAAAAAAAGGUAUAAGUCUAUGAAAGUGUAAUUCCCAUGGUAUCCAUAAAAUAGUAGAUUGAAUGUGGAUUAGUGUCAGAUCCGCAUCAAAUCUGCAGUGCAACGCAUGGAUUUAAUCAAUCCAUAAAAUGGUGAAUUUUUGUAAAUAAUCCACAAAAUCGGACAAUGUGGGACCACAUACAAUCCGAUAUUUUACAAAUUUGGAAAGUGCAGGAAAUUCUUUGUAAGGAUAAUUUUGUGGGCGUCAUUAAUAAAAUAAUUGUAUUUAGAAAUGGCACAACCAAGUUAAUUAUGAUGUUACCAUAUAGGGUUAAUACUUGAAAAAAAUAAAAUAAAAUGAUUAUGGGGCUGUCGAAGGAGCAUAGCAAGUGAUUGUUGCUCAAAUUUGUUUGUCCUUAUCUUUUAUCUGAAGCGGCGUAUAAAUCUGGAUUCUCUUACUAUUAUACCUUUGGGACAAAACUAUUGUUACUUCGUGGGUUCUUCAAAUUAAUAUUUCUUGCUUUUUAAAUCAUUUUUGGAUGCUGGUGAGGAAGAUGAUAGAGAGAAUGGAGUACCAAUAUUUCACUCUCUUUAUAAGAAGUAAUCACCUCACGGUAUGUUUAUUUAUCUAGCAUUUAUUUGUUUAUUUUCUUUCCUUUAAUCACAUAAUCGUUAUUGCACUUUAAUGGCUAAAAUAGAACAUUUUAAAAUUAUUUCUUUGGCUAAAAUAGAACAUUCUAUUUCUUUGGUGUUGUUGUAAUAGAAAAUGAUAAAUGACAUACAUACAUACACACACACGCACACACAUAUGAAAAUUUCUAAUUUGAGAAUUCAAGAUUAAAUUAAAGUCUGGGAAGAGUUGGUAGUGAUGUAAAUGGAUUUUUACGUUGUUUUAAAUAUGUCUUGAAUUUUAAUGAAGUCUGGGAUUCUCAUAUUGGAAGUUAAACUAUAUAUUUAUAAAAGUAUAUACAUUGUUUUUCUCUAAUAAAAUGGUUGAAUGACAUUUUUCUUAAAUAAUGUAUAAUUAAAAAAUUAAAAAUUUACUUUGGAGAUCAUUUAUGAAGAUAUACAAUAAUGAGUAUUUUAUUAUAACUAAAAGAAGAACGAAUGAGGUCCAUCGAAUUACUGUAAACAAGCAUUCACAUUUUGCAAAUAUAUGAGCAUCCUUAUUAGAGAAGAAUUUGGGUUGAGUGUGUGUGUGUGUGCGCGUAUAUAUAUAUAUAUAUAUAUAUAUCUGCAUGUUAAAAUCAUUUAGACAAAAAAAAAAAAAAUGAACUCCAAUACACUAGAAGGUAAAAAUAAUGCUUUUUGGUCAGUAUUUGUUUUUUGUCUUUUCGCUCAAUUUGUAUUUCAAAAUCAUUUAGAGGUCCGAACCUAAGCAAAACAUUGAGUUCUAAUAUUAGUCUGUAUUUGCAGAACCCAAUAACCAUUUUUUGUUUUGGUUGUAUUAAGUGGAAUGACUCCACUCCUAAUUGUUAAAUCCUAUUAUAUUUUAAAAACGAAAAGAAAGCAAACAAUUGUCACGAUUUUGGCCAACAUAUAAUAGUUGUUUCCCUUUCUCUUUGGUUUAGCGAAGAAUAUAAUAAGAAUAAAUAAUUAGAAGUGAGGUCAUUCCAUAUAAUGCAGUAAGAUUGCUAAUAUUUGAAGUCCUCAUUUUAUUUACGAAAAAAAGGAUCACUUAAUGGGAAGCUCACUAUAUAUAUAGUGAGAGAGAAAGAGAGAGAGAGUUAUUAUCUGGUGAGUUUCUCACACUUUAAUAAAGUAACGUAUGAGCUGAAAUACAAGAAAAGCACGUGUCAAUGCAUCAUAUUUUGUCUUGUAGUGUAUUUGAAUUUGUGUUUUUAUAUUUUUUAGAUUAUACCUUAUCAUAUUAAAGUAAAGGGAGCCCCUAAGUUACAUUUAAUGUAACUUACACCACUUACAUGAACAGUGCGUGGUGUGGGGCCUACGCACUGUUCAUGUGAGUGGAUGUAAGUUACAUUAAAUGUAACUUAACAUUUGCCUAAAGUAAAGGAUCAUCAUAAGAAGUGCAAUCUACACACGUGCGCGCAUGCAUGUACAUAGGGAAAUUUCCAAUUCUUGAUUCUCGAAUGAGCCACUAAUUGAAAUCCAAAGAUCCAAAACUUUCUUUUUUUUAAUAUUUUGUUGGCUCCAACACGUGCAACAACAUAUGCAGCCGAAUGAUAACCUUUGGAUUUAAAUAUUUUGUUCUUAGAUGCUUUUCCAACCUAGGAACAAAAUGGUGGUCUUUGAAUCCAAAGGUUAACACCAUGUGCAGCCAACCAAAUGGAAGAAAAAUGAAAAAAAGGGGUUUGGAAUCCAACGGUCCAUCCGGAAAUCCUUGAUCGAAAAAUUCCCCAUAUAGAUGUUACAAUCUGGGGAUCUUGGGUGUAUAUAUAUAAUCUGGGGAUCUUGGGUAUACAUAUAUAUAUAUCACGCCAAGGUGCGGACAUCUGCAUCAAUUUUCAUGCACAACCUUUUAUAGAGUUGUAAAAUAGUUUACAAUGUUAUUUAGUAUAAAGAUUUGCGUUUGCACAAAAUUUCAUGCUAUCAUCUAUGAUCACUCUGUAUUUAUAGUAUAAUGCCUGGAAUCAAGUGAGUAAGGUUCAUUUCAGUUGUUAUUAUUAGUGAUUAAUUUUUUUUUUAUAAUUAUGUGAAUUAUUAUUAUUACUCCUUGAAUUUUAAUUUUUGGGCCUAAGAGUUAAAGCUUUCUGCGCCUAGUGAUUUUAUUUUUUUGGGUAGUUCUAAAACCCAAUAAGAAUUAGGUCUUCUUUUAUUGUAAGGUGGUAGACUUUCUUUCUUACAAAAAUUAGUUUUAGAGACUGCUCACAGAAUGAAGAUUCUUGGAAAAUGUUAUGAGGGAAAGAGAGUAAAGAGGUAUUUUUUUUUAAUAUCUCAAUUUACUUGUUAAGUUUACUGUAAGGUGGCUAAACUUUCUUUCUCACAAAAAUAUGUCGUGGGAUAUAUCUAUGUUAUAGAAUGAACUUAUGAGAGGACGAUUUAGUUUGAUAAAGAUCAGUUUUGACUUAUUGUGUUCUUUUAAGAAACAGUAAGGAAUAAUUAAGUUUUUUCGAGGUUUUGUGUACAUAUGAUAGUGACCUACUCCAAAACGAUUUAAAAUAAUGCAUUUUUUUUAUUUUUGCAAAUAUGUAUGUUUUUGUACUGAAACUAGACAUUGUAAGGUCUCUUAGAAUUUUUUAAAUUCAAAUAUACUUAAAUUCGAAUUUUAAUGGAUUUUUGAAUCAUACAAUUGGAUAUUAAAAAUUUACGGUUUCUGUAAUGUUGCCAAAUGAUGAAAAACUUUUGACCAAUCAAACCUUCUUUAAAAAUCAUGAACUUUUGCAGAUGGACCUUUUUACACGGCAUAUUAGAUACUGAGGUCUUAGUUCCUCGUUUCUAGUUAAUAUGAAUUAACGAGUGAAAGGGACUUAAUUUGGGAUUUUUUUUAUGGCAUGAUUAAAUGGCCUAAAAAUCAAGUUUAUUUUUAAUAGAUUUUGAAUGCAAUUUGCCUUGAAAUUUUACUGUAUACCUUUAUGUGCCUAUAUGAUCCCUAUGAAAUUUCAUAAAUAUUGGAUAUUGAUUUUUUUUUCUUAUUAAAACAAUCUGAGAUUGAGGAUUGGUUAGUAACUUUUUCUGUUAUAAGGAGAAUGGAAAGCAAGAUUUGUGAUAUUACUUGAAAUUGUUUCUUAAAGACAUAGGAGCUGAGAAUUUUAUGUGAUAUUUUUAGUUGUAUCAUGAAUAUCAUCUAAGGUAUUAAACAAAAAUAAAUAAAUAAGUGCUAAGGGUGAUAAGCAUGUUGAAACAAGGAAAUUAUCUUGUAAAGUAAAUUUGGACUCGUUUAUCAUGAUUAAGACCCAUAGUGCUUAAUAGUUUAUUGUUACAUUUUCACAGGAGAUUAGUCUUUGAUGUUCAGUUAUGAUGAGUAUGUUUAUUGUUGUGACUGCCAAGAGUAAUCUUUGAUGUUCAAUUACGGUGACUAGGUUUAUUGUUGUGACUGCCAAGAAGUAAAUAAGCUAAACUUUUAACUACAUUCACUUUGAACAUGUGUGUGUGUGUGAGUGCUGUCUUAAAGAGGUUUUUUUUUUAAUGUUUAUUAUAAGAUUUGUGAUACAGAUAUGUGAUUAAGUGUUUGUUUUAUCCAUUAGAAUAGGCAUGUAUGAUGUUAUGUUAGGAAUUGCAUUCAAAGUAAUGUAUGAAGCAAUUUUUUCCGUACAAAAUAUCUUGUGUUCUAGGAUGCCCAACAUAUUCUUUUAAUUGUCCAUUUGUGUGUUUAUUUGGAGUGUUAGUUAUAAUUUAAUAAUCAAAAUGUAUGACAGUGAUAAUUUACAUUGAUUAUGAUAUAGUAGAGAUGGAUUUGUCAAAGCCAAAUCAUUUGAACCAAAACUCAAACUAAACCCAAAGUAAAUUAGGUGGAUUGUUUUUUGGUUUCGGUAGUAACAAGUGUAGGGUAGCUUGGAUUGAAACCCUGACGAAUUUGCCUAGAAUUUCUAAUAAUUAAGAUUUUUUUUUUGAAUUUUGAAACAUUUGAGUGACAAAAUACUAUGUGCAUAUUAUAAUUUUAUUAGUUAGUUGUACUACAAAGUAUAGAAGUUCUCAAUAUUUUGCACAAUUGCUAGACACCAUGCUUUUUAAUUUCCAAUUACAAAUUAUUCAAGCCGAAGAUGCCCAGCUGGCCAAGAUUAAUUCAAUGAAUUUGGAGAGCACAAAUCUCAAAAUUAUUGUACUAUUACCAUUUGAGUUGCCUGUCAAUUAAAUAAUAAUAGUGGUAACCUCACUUUUCAAUUACAAAUUACUAACACAAAACAAGUAAAUUUUAGCCACAAGCAUAAACCGGGUCUAUGCAAUUUCGGAAACCACUCAGAAACUUUAUUAUUACUCUUUUGUUGUUGUUGCAACUUGAUCAUCAUCAACUGCUCAGCUUAUUGUUGCAUACACUGCAAAUUCUUUGUUCAUGGGUUGUGUCUAAACAUGUCCAAAGAAAUCACCAUCAUCCUCUUCACAAACUACACACUCUUUUUGAAUACUUUGGCGAACAAUGAGUCCAAGACUUGUAAUGUCUGUGAUGAAUUAAUUGAAGGCAUCAGCUUACGCUGUAAUAAUGCUACAGAUUGUGAAUUUUAUUAUCAUGUUGCCUGUUGAUACCCCUACACAAGAAGCUUGAAACACAAGUCUCACUGAUGAUAAUGAUUUGGUAUAUUUAAUGAAGAACAAUGCGCUGUUUUAAGUGUUUCGAAUAUGCAAGCGCCACGAUUACUGUGAAGAUUCAUUCUGUAGGUUUAGUAAGUGUAAUUGGAAUGUUCGUAUUGAAUUUAUUCCUCUGCCGCUUGUUGUAAGACAUUAAAGUUACCAAUUGCAUCAUCUUAUGCUUACGGAUUGUGUAAAAGUUUAUGUGUGUAAACAGGAAGAACUCCUAAGGAUCAUGUUUAUCACCGUGGGGAAUGCGGCUUCCUUGCUCAUACUGAAUGCCCCUUAUGUGAGGUAAGUUAACUUUCACCUACAUUUUACCUCAUAAAUUAGGAAUUUAGUGAUUCAAAAUUGUGUUAUUGCUGAAUAUGUUCUGCUUGGCUCAAUAAUUGAAGUAAAUCUAUGAAUAUGUUGUAACAACGCAAGUUUUUAUUAUUGGUAACAAUUUUGUCAUUUACACUCCUCAAAUGUUGCGUAAGAUGACAGUUGUAACCAAAAAAAGAGAAAUUUAUCUUUAAUUAUAGAGCAAUGCUAACUAGCCAAAAUAACGGCAGAGGGAAGACAGAAACGGCAGCACAUGUUGCCGUUUCCUAUCCUCUCUCUCUUCUGUUAUGGGCCCACAAUAAAUUUAGAAAAAUGAAUAUAUAAUGGCGCACAUGCGUGAAUAAAGUGAAAACAUUUUUUUCUGUUAUUGGACAAGAGUUUUAACGCUCCAUAAUGAUUAAAGUGGGAGGCAAAAUCGAGUUAUUUACCACAACUAAUAUCUGCAUUUCUAGUCCUGCAUUUGAUCGAUUUCAAUAACAUAAAAAAAAGAAAAUCUACAAAAUCUCAAUCUCUUGGCUCUGUGUUGUGUCGAGGGCAAAGGAAAAUCUGCAAGGUUGGUUGGCCUGGUCAUGACAAAAGAAAACCUGCAAGGUUGCUGUGGG